Molecule: ribosomal RNA, 404 nt
Filed under: uncultured prokaryote
Description: bacterial SSU rRNA
Rfam family: Bacterial small subunit ribosomal RNA
Source: RNAcentral
UGGGGAAUAUUGGGCAAUGGGCGCAAGCCUGACCCAGCAACGCCGCGUGAGGGAAGAAGGUCUUCGGAUUGUAAACCUCUGUCGCAAGGGACGAAGGCGUGACGGUACCUUGUGAGGAAGCCCCGGCUAACUACGUGCCAGCAGCCGCGGUAAUACGUAGGGGGCGAGCGUUGUCCGGAAUUACUGGGCGUAAAGGGUGCGUAGGCGGUUGCUUAAGUUGGAUGUGAAAUACCCGGGCUUAACUUGGGGGGUGCAUUCAAAACUGGGCGACUAGAGUUCAGGAGAGGGAAGCGGAAUUCCUAGUGUAGCGGUGAAAUGCGUAGAUAUUAGGAGGAACACCAGUGGCGAAGGCGGCUUUCUGGACUGACACUGACGCUGAGGCACGAAAGCGUGGGGAGCAAACA